RNAcentral lists this long non-coding RNA (383 nucleotides) under Androctonus crassicauda. Lineage: Eukaryota; Metazoa; Arthropoda; Arachnida; Scorpiones; Buthidae. The record is from RNAcentral.
GAAUCACUUUAUUACAUUUCAAACGAUAGUGUUCGAUUUUUAUUCGAAUAGCUGGUUGCGUUGGAUACCACGCCAUGGAAUCGCCCGAUAAGUCAAUCGCGUUGCGAAUGAAGAAAGUAGAAAUGAAGUGUUGUCUGAAUGAAGAAAGUAAUAAAGGAAAAAGUAGCAUCGGGUAUACUUAAAGGACUAAGAGAAAGCGUUAUUGUCGAACAAAAUAAAUGUAAAACAGCUGUAUCACCACAAAUUUACACCGGUGACCUGUACGCAGCGCCCGCUCUAGCAUUUAUGUGGGCCCGGACAAAAAGACAAAUUAGCGCCCCUUAUAUAUUCUUAAAAAGUUUAUUUAAAAUAAAAAUCAACGAGAAUAAGGUCUAACCAAACCG